GUGAUUUCUCAUUCAAAAAUCAAGUACAUACUGAAGCUCAAUCUGAUUUUACAUUUGAUGAACUUCAUGAUGCUUUUUCUGAUUUAUACUUAGAAUAUAAGAAGCUUAGUUUAAAGAAUAAAAAGCUAAAUCAGAAAAAUCUAUCUCUUGCUGAAAGCUAUGAUAUAACUCAGAAAAAUAAUAAAUUACUUUCAGAAGACAAUGAAAGGCUAACUAAAGAAGUUAACAAAUUUAAACCUAUAGUUGAAAAAUUUACUAACAGCUCUGAAAAACUGAACUUAAUGAUAA
This 288-nucleotide long non-coding RNA is filed under the name Phoenix dactylifera (date palm). RNAcentral describes it as "long non-coding RNA (PDAC_LNC021602)". The record is from RNAcentral. Lineage: Eukaryota; Viridiplantae; Streptophyta; Magnoliopsida; Arecales; Arecaceae.